GUUUUCUAAAAAAGCAUCUUGGAGAAACAUGGCUUAAAAAAUUUCUAGGCAGUAGCUAUUAAAAGCUGACCUUAGUAGAGAAAAGAAUCAGAAAAGAAUCAGAAGAUUAAGAUAUUUUGUUUUCCUGAAGUGGUUACACCAAACUGUAAAGAUUAAAAUUUAGGGGAAACUGAGGCAGGUAGAAAUUAGUUUAUCUCUGCAAGUAGUAUUAUAUUUUUAGAGAUUUUUUAAAGUUUGAGAAUUUAAGAAAACACAAGUAAUAAAGGCACGUGCUAGGUGGGCGGAGAGGCCCAAUUCAAUUUCACUCACAUCAUGAGGGACGCAUCUGCUCCAAAGCAGAAGUAGGAAAGAGACCCUCAGUAGGCGGAGAACUCCUUUAAAUAAUAAUUUGUGUUCUUGCCCAGGUGAGAAUUUGGUGCAAUUACAAAGCAUUCUGGGACGUGAGCAAGGACUUCUGGGGACUGGAGUCCUGGAUUCAAGUCUCCAUUUUUAUAAUAUUCUUGUGUGAAGUACAGUGAUAAAAGAACUCUAUAUAUCCUCUGGUACCAGGACUACAUCAAGGACGAGGAGGAGCUAAACAGAUAAAUGUCACUGGAUUAACAGAUGGGAAGCAAAGCAGAAUUUUGAAAUCUCCCUGCUGUUGUUAUAGUCAUCUCACCCUGGAGUACAGAGGAGGAGGAAGGAGUAUGUCUGAGCUCAGAAGUUCCUUUGAAAAAGAGGGCACAUUUGUCUACAAACCAAAUGGCUUCAAUGUAGGGGAUGGUGUUUCCCAUUUCUGCUCACAAGAAUGAGAACUGGAGGCUGAUGGGAAGGAGAGACCCCUAUGAAUAGGAGAAGGGUCUGGGACUGAAGCUGGAGAUCAUUAUUUCUUUAUAACCAAAUAUCUCAGGAGUGCCUGGUAAAAGAAUUAAAAAUAUGAAGGAAAUAGAUAUUUUUUCCAUUUCUGACUAACUCUCAAAAAACCCCCAACAAACCUUAGAAGAGAAAUUAUGUGCCAGAUGUGGAACAAUCACAGUAAAUGCCACAGGACUGAAAAUAAAGAGAAAGCCAACAAAAUAGAAGCCUAAUGA
RNAcentral lists this long non-coding RNA (1070 nucleotides) under Monodelphis domestica (gray short-tailed opossum). RNAcentral's name for it is "lncRNA (ENSMODG00000031363.2)". Lineage: Eukaryota; Metazoa; Chordata; Mammalia; Didelphimorphia; Didelphidae. The record is from RNAcentral.